ACGCUGGCGGCAUGCUUUACACAUGCAAGUCGAACGGCAGCGCGGGGCAACCUGGCGGCGAGUGGCGAACGGGUGAGUAAUAUAUCGGAACGUACCCAAGAGUGGGGGAUAACGUAGCGAAAGUUACGCUAAUACCGCAUACGAUCUAAGGAUGAAAGCAGGGGAUCUUCGGACCUUGUGCUCCUGGAGCGGCCGAUAUCUGAUUAGCUAGUUGGUGAGGUAAAGGCUCACCAAGGCCACGAUCAGUAGCUGGUCUGAGAGGACGACCAGCCACACUGGAACUGAGACACGGUCCAGACUCCUACGGGAGGCAGCAGUGGGGAAUUUUGGACAAUGGGCGAAAGCCUGAUCCAGCAAUGCCGCGUGAGUGAAGAAGGCCUUCGGGUUGUAAAGCUCUUUUGUCAGGGAAGAAACGGUUUGGGCUAAUAUCCUGAGCUAAUGACGGUACCUGAAGAAUAAGCACCGGCUAACUACGUGCCAGCAGCCGCGGUAAUACGUAGGGUGCAAGCGUUAAUCGGAAUUACUGGGCGUAAAGCGUGCGCAGGCGGUUUUGUAAGUCUGACGUGAAAUCCCCGGGCUCAACCUGGGAAUUGCGUUGGAGACUGCAAGGCUAGAAUCUGGCAGAGGGGGGUAGAAUUCCACGUGUAGCAGUGAAAUGCGUAGAGAUGUGGAGGAACACCGAUGGCGAAGGCAGCCCCCUGGGUCAAGAUUGACGCUCAUGCACGAAAGCGUGGGGAGCAAAC
This 743-nucleotide ribosomal RNA is filed under the name uncultured bacterium. RNAcentral's name for it is "bacterial SSU rRNA". It matches the Rfam family "Bacterial small subunit ribosomal RNA", at positions 33 to 773 of the family's 1533-position model. The record is from RNAcentral.